This 403-nucleotide ribosomal RNA is filed under the name uncultured bacterium. RNAcentral's name for it is "partial 16S ribosomal RNA". It matches the Rfam family "Bacterial small subunit ribosomal RNA", at positions 29 to 526 of the family's 1533-position model. The record is from RNAcentral.
AUUGAACGCUGGCGGCAGGCCUAACACAUGCAAGUCGAGCGAGCGGCGGACGGGUGAGUAAUGUAUGGGGACUGCCCGAUAGAGGGGGAUAACUACUGGAAACGGUGGCUAAUACCGCAUACUAUCGGAUAACCCAUAUGGGAUUAGCUAGUAGGUGGGGUACAGGCUCACCUAGGCGACGAUCUCUAGCUAGGCUGAGAGGAUGAUGAGCGACACUGGGAGUGUGACAAGGCCCAGACGCCUACGGAGGCAGUAGUGGGGAAUAUUGCACAAUGGGGGAAAGCAUGAUGCAGCCAUGCCGAGUGAAUGAAGAAGGCCUUAGGGUUGUAAAGGACUUUCAGCAGGGAGGCGUUACACGCAGAAGAAGCACCGGCUAACUCCGUGCCAGCAGCCGCGGUAAGAC